RNAcentral lists this unclassified non-coding RNA (406 nucleotides) under Basidiomycota sp. 110. Its description in RNAcentral is "sequence contains ITS1, ITS2". Lineage: Eukaryota; Fungi; Basidiomycota. The record is from RNAcentral.
CAACCUCUGUGCACUUAUUGUAGGCUGGUGAAGGGUCGCAUAGUAAUGUGCGGCUUGAAGCCUGGUCUACGUUUUACUACAAACGCUUCAGUUAUAGAAUGUCUAUCUGCGUAUAACGCAUUUAAUAUACAACUUUCAGCAACGGAUCUCUUGGCUCUCGCAUCGAUGAGAACGCAGCAACAUCAUUAUCGAGUUUUGAACGGGUUGUAGCUGGCCUCUCUGUGGCAUGUGCCUCUGUCUUCUCCCUCUUCACCCUGUGCCUUAUUGUAGGCUGGUGAAGGGUCGCAUAAUAAUGUGCGGCUUGAAGCGGGUCUGUUUUUAUAAAAGCUUACUUAUAGAAAGUCUAUCGCUAUAAGCACUUAAUAUACACUUUCCACGGAACUCUUGGCUCUGCUCGAUAAAGAAG